RNAcentral lists this ribosomal RNA (455 nucleotides) under uncultured bacterium. Its description in RNAcentral is "bacterial SSU rRNA". It matches the Rfam family "Bacterial small subunit ribosomal RNA", at positions 340 to 786 of the family's 1533-position model. The record is from RNAcentral.
UACGGAAGGCAGCAGUGGGGAAUAUUGCACAAUGGGCGCAAGCCUGAUGCAGCCAUGCCGCGUGUAUGAAGAAGGCCUUCGGGUUGUAAAGUACUUUCAGUCGUGAGGAAGGUGUUAAGGUUAAUAACCUUAGCAAUUGACGUUAGCGACAGAAGAAGCACCGGCUAACUCCGUGCCAGCAGCCGCGGUAAUACGGAGGGUGCGAGCGUUAAUCGGAAUUACUGGGCGUAAAGGGCACGCAGGCGGUUAAUUAAGUUGGAUGUGAAAUCCCCGGGCUUAACCUGGGAAUGGCAUUCAAGACUGGUUAGCUAGAGUCUUGUAGAGGGGGUUAGAAUUCCAUGUGUAGCGGUGAAAUGCGUAGAGAUGUGGAGGAAUACCGGUGGCGAAGGCGGCCCCUGGACAAAGGACUGACGCUCAUGUGCGAAAGCGUGGGGAGCAAACGAGGAUUAGAUACC